UGAUGAAUUGUCGCCACUAAUAUGAGGUUGUUGUAGCGACUUGGAAGCCGCCCCUAGAUAUACCAAUCUAUUGUACAGCGAAUUUGUCACUAAUGCUUUUGGUUUUAAAAUGAAAGGUUACAAAAACAAACCCUAGACAAACGAGAAAAAACACCGCCAAAAUCAUUUUCUACAAUACACUUCUCAACAACGUUCCCUCGGCUGGGAACUUUUGGAUCCUCUAUCCCUUUGCUGUUACCCGGCGAACUCAUCGACAAUUCCUUUAUCGGUAAAUAUUUUCGUCGGUUCCUCUCUCUCUAUCUCUCUCUUCCCUUUUAGAUUUCUUACCUUUAGCUCUGUUUUAACUGUGAAUCUUAGCUCGUGCAAAUAUAAAUAAGUUCUUCUAUUCUAUUUCUUCUUUGCCUUCUUGUAUCUUGAAGUCUUUCAACUCUAUAGUGAAAAAAGCCCCUUUCUAAAAGUUUUUGCUAUUUUCUUAACCUAAAUAAAAAUGGCGAGAGCGGGACUAGAUGAAAAUUGGAAGGAGUAAUUGACAAUUAUGGAGUACAUUUGAGAUUUUUCAUGCUGGGUAUGAGACAAUAUUUUUUUGGCAAAGCAUGAGAAGAUUUUAUCAAUAUUUUCUUGACAAAGCAUGAGAAGAUUUUAUCAAUAUUUUCUUGACAAAGCAUGUGGACAAGUGGCCUUUCUAUGAUACUUUCCGAAGGAAUGGAGUUCCUCUCAAUUUGUUGCUCAUAGCUGAUGAUUUUGCCUCUUAAUUUUUGGGAGUAUGUUGGUGGUAUUAGAGCUCACUAUCUGUUAAGUAAACUGGAGAUCUCUAUUUUGAUUGAUCCUCAUUUGGAUGUGCAUAUGGUGUUUCCAAUUACUCAUGUCGUAAAAUAUUAAAAAUUCUACACGCAUGAAAAUAUUUUCCUAAUGCUCAGUUAUACGGACCAUCGGUGAUGAUUGUCGAGUUUGAGCACAUAGUACCUGAUUUUAAGAAGCAGAUGCUGAUAUCAUCAUCGUUUACUAAAGGAGAUAGUACUUCAACAAUGGGGAAAUGAAGUUGCUCAAGGGGUGGCCUGAAGACAUUAGAGUAACUUGAACAUAUUGGAAUAGUUUGAAGACGUAUUCCUUUGGUUUUUUUUUCAUAAAAUAGAGAAGGGAUAAGGUUAUUUAAUAAGUAGGAGUUCGAACACAUUUGAUGUUCUUUUUCCAUGUGUAUAUGCAAUGACAAUGUAUUUAUGGAGCGUAAUGUAAUUUGUUGCAGACUAUUUGGUAAUGAAAAGUUUCUAUACAAUUUUAUUUAAGA
Non-coding RNA from Nicotiana tabacum (common tobacco), 1285 nucleotides. NCBI's taxonomy places the organism in Eukaryota, Viridiplantae, Streptophyta, Magnoliopsida, Solanales, Solanaceae. The record is from RefSeq and is a predicted model, not a curated record.